CCCCUGUAGGACUAGUGGUUAGGCCACAGCGCUCUCACCACUGUGCCCUGGGUUUGAUUCCCAGCCAGGGAA
Molecule: transfer RNA, 72 nt
Filed under: Pangasianodon hypophthalmus (striped catfish)
Lineage: Eukaryota; Metazoa; Chordata; Actinopteri; Siluriformes; Pangasiidae
Description: tRNA-Glu
Rfam family: tRNA
About the family: Transfer RNA (tRNA) molecules are approximately 80 nucleotides in length. Their secondary structure includes four short double-helical elements and three loops (D, anti-codon, and T loops).
Source: RNAcentral